Planococcus citri (citrus mealybug) is the source of this 1005-nucleotide long non-coding RNA. RefSeq lists it as uncharacterized. The transcript is spliced from 2 exons. Lineage: Eukaryota; Metazoa; Arthropoda; Insecta; Hemiptera; Pseudococcidae. The record is from RefSeq and is a predicted model, not a curated record.
AAUGAUCGAAUUACGUGCGAAUUGGAAAUGAGGAUUGAUCAACCGAUUUUGUUCAGUGAUGAUUGCAUUAAUAAAACCUUCAUUUUUUUUUUAUUCCUUUCGAAACGUUAUGUAAAUAUUUUGAAUUUGAAUGGCGAGUUAGUUUGGUGUUGGUGUAAAUAUUUUUAAAGUAAUAGCGAAAUUCGUUUACACAAUGUAAACUGCAUCAUUGCGUAGUUUUUCUUUUCCCGAAUAAAUCUAGCAAGAAAAUGUAAUCUAUAGAGAUUUUCCGCGUGUGUUAGUUUUGUUUUGUGUUUCAUAAAGGAUCAUUGCCUGUUCUUCCUACGUUUCAAAACUGAAUGAUAAAUGUUCAAAUGAACUAAAAUUUGGAUUUUGAAUUUGAAAUUGAACGUUGAAAGUCGCUUUACAAAACAAUCUGACCAGUCCAAAAAUAAAAUGUCAUCCGCCAGAAUCGCAUUGCUAAUACUUUGCCACUGUCUUAUCGGCGUCUUCAGCGACGAAGUAGUCCUCACCGGCGACUUGAACAAUGAAAACAUACUCGUAGACCAAGAAACUGAGUCGUCGAAGGCUGCAGAUGCUGAUGCUUCGACGGAAUUCGAAUCUCGUCUGAAUGACGUGCCAGUCGACGAAAUCGACAGCUCUCUCAACCAUGGUGAACUAAUAGAAAAACUUGAGCAAGAAUUGCAGUUGUUAGAUGAAGGUAAUUCGGAUGACGAAAAUUCAUCGGUAGGGGCAGAAUCUCCUGUUGCGAAUAACACAAAUUCGGAUCAAGUUCCGGUAGUGCAGACAAUCGUAGUGUUUGAUAAGCAGGAUCAAAAUAACGGGUCUUGGAUCCCGAUCGAAGUUAUGUUCGUUGUUGUCGUAGUUGGUAUUUUAUUGGUUUUAUUGUUCAUGCGUCGUAACGACUAGUAAGGAGUAGGGUGAGGCUGUUGCUUUUUUUUAAAUUAAGAACUUGAGAAGAUGAUUUUUUUCAUUAUGAUUAAUACAUGCUUUAUUGUAUGGUGA